GUAGGUGGCAAGCGUUGUCCGGAAUUAUUGGGCGUAAAGCGCGCGGAGGCGGUUCUUUAAGUCUGAUGUGAAAGCCCACGGCUCAACCGUGGAGGGUCAUUGGAAACUGGAGAACUUGAGUACAGAAGAGGAAAGCGGAAUUCCACGUGUAGCGGUGAAAUGCGUAGAGAUGUGGAGGAACACCAGUGGCGAAGGCGGCUUUUCUGGUCUGUAACUGACGCUGAGGCGCGAAAGCGUGGGGAGCAAACAGGGAUUAGAUACCCUGGUAGUCCACGCCGUAAACGAUGAGUGCUAAGUGUUAGGGGGUUUCCGCCCCCUUAGUGCUGCAGCUAACGCAUUAAGCACUCCGCCUGGGGAGUACGGCCGCAAGGCUG
Molecule: ribosomal RNA, 374 nt
Filed under: uncultured organism
Description: partial 16S ribosomal RNA
Rfam family: Bacterial small subunit ribosomal RNA
Source: RNAcentral